GAUCCUGGCUCAGAAUCAACGCUGGCGGCGUGCCUAACACAUGCAAGUCGAACGAGAAAGGGUAGCAAUACCUGAGUAAAGUGGCGCACGGGUGAGUAACACGUGACUAACCUACCUUUUAGUGGGGGAUAACCUAGGGAAACCUGGGCUAAUACCGCAUAACACUUACGAGUCAAAGCAGCAAUGCGCUGAAAGAGGGGGUCGCGGUCGAUUAGUUAGUUGGCAGGGUAAUGGCCUACCAAGACUGUGAUCGAUAUCCGGCCUGAGAGGGCGCACGGACACACUGGAACUGAAACACGGUCCAGACUCCUACGGGAGGCAGCAGUGGGGAAUUUUGCGCAAUGGGGGAAACCCUGACGCAGCAACGCCGCGUGGAGGAUGAAGUCCCUUGGGACGUAAACUCCUUUCGAUCGGGACGAUAAUGACGGUACCGGAAGAAGAAGCCCCGGCUAACUUCGUGCCAGCAGCCGCGGUAAUACGAGGGGGGCAAGCGUUGUUCGGAAUUAUUGGGCGUAAAGGGUGCGUAGGUGGUUCGGCAAGUCUUGUGUGAAAUCUUCAGGCUCAACUUGAAGUCUGCACAAGAAACUGCCGGGCUUGAGUAUGGGAGAGGUGAGUGGAAUUUCCGGUGUAGCGGUGAAAUGCGUAGAUAUCGGAAGGAACACCUGUGGCGAAAGCGGCUCACUGGACCAU
RNAcentral lists this ribosomal RNA (690 nucleotides) under uncultured Acidobacteriota bacterium. Its description in RNAcentral is "bacterial SSU rRNA". It matches the Rfam family "Bacterial small subunit ribosomal RNA", at positions 15 to 737 of the family's 1533-position model. The record is from RNAcentral. Lineage: Bacteria; Pseudomonadati; Acidobacteriota.